UUUAGAUAUUUACUGUGGGCCAAACAUUACAUAGGCAACUUAAAUAUAAAAACCAGUAAGAAAUGAUACCUACCUGAAAGUGAUCCAAAGUAGGGGAAACAGGGGGAUGUGGAUGGGUCAGUUGGUUAAGCAUUUGCCUUUGGCUCAAGUCAUGAUCCCCAGGUCCUAGGAUCCAGCCCCAUAUCCGGCUCCCUGUUCAGGGAGGAGGCUGCAUCUUCUUCUCUCAUUCCUCCCACUUAUGCUGUCUGGCUCUCUCUCUCUUUGUCAUUAAAUAAACAAAAUCUUUAAAAACACAAAACAAAGCAAAGUAGUGGAAACAGACAUUUAAAAAAUACUGUGGUUAAGAGUUGUCACACAGGUAAGUACAGAGCACUCUGGGGCACAUAGCUCAGACUGGAGGACUCAUGCAGGUUUCCCAAAAGAGAUUAUUAAAAUGAACCUUGUAGAAUAACUAGAAGUUUGAUAGAUAAAAGUCCUUUUUGGUGCAAAGAUUUUUUUUCUAAACAUGCAGACCAGGAUGCAUAUGGACAUUUGACCUGAGUGUGAACCCAACAGGUAUUCAGAACUACAGUAUGGCUGGAACCUUGUAGGAAAGGGGAAGAUAACACUGGAGAGGCAAGUCAGAUCAGGUAAUGAAGAACACUGAACACCAUGCUGAAGAGUUAAAAUUUCAAGUGGAGGAUAAAACACAAGCGGAUUUACAUUGAAGAAGUAUGAUUCACAAAAGGGAUUUUGCCAGACUUCUUGGAAUCCCUGGGUGGCGCAGCGGUUUAGCGCCUGCCUUUGGCCCGGGGCGUGAUCCUGGAGACCCGGGAUCGAAUCCCGCGUCGGGCUCCUGGUGCAUGGAGCCUGCUUCUCCCUCUGCCUGUGUCUCUGCUUCUCUCUCUCUCUCUGUGUGACUAUCAUAAAUAAAUAAAAAUUUAAAAAAAGAACAUUUAAAAAAAAGGAAAUAUAUUAAAUUAAAUGAGACUAAUAUAUAGUACUGACUUACGUGGUCCAUAAAAAUGAAAUUUCAUUCUUAAGUUGUUUUUUUUCAAUGCAGCAAUGUCUGAUUUUGCCUGAUGCAAUAAGUAUUGCCACUGAUUCAUAUUAGCAUUUUGCUAUAGUUCAUUGCCAAAAUGUAGUCACUUGGCCCUAACUAGCUGCGAGGAAGGAAGAAUGUCCUUACUUUUUUCCUAAAUCACAAUGUAUCCAAUGAACAUUAAGAUUGUUAUUACUAAGACAGUAAGGGUGCAAUAGAUAUCAGAAUACUACUAGGGAUCUCCACAUUAGUGCCUUCACUUUAUUUUCUAAGCUAUUGCAAUUAUUUUCCUUAGUUUCCAAGAAUUUGUUCAGGCCCCAGCCCUCCAGUUUUUUUCCUGGUUUCUACUCCAUUACCUCAACCUGUUUUUUUCUGUUUCAGAAGAGAACUUCUGGUGAUUCUUUUGGACAUCUGCCUACUUCUGUUUUGGCUUCUUCCCAAGACUGCCUCUCAAGUCUCAACUUGGCUCAGCCACUUAGGCCUAUAGUCAAGUGAUCUAGGCCCCCAACCCUAACUCAGUCAGUUACUAUUCAGACCUCAACUUAACACUCUGACUCCCUCCCUUUCCAAGAGGAAAGAUUAUCUACUAAUCAUCUAAGCUUUUAUAUUGUUAACUAGAGUCUUCUUUCUUAAGCCUUUUCUAAAUUUUUCACAGGGAGAGGGUUUUAC
Molecule: long non-coding RNA, 1690 nt
Filed under: Canis lupus familiaris (dog)
Lineage: Eukaryota; Metazoa; Chordata; Mammalia; Carnivora; Canidae
Description: lncRNA (ENSCAFG00000044950.2)
Source: RNAcentral